Molecule: ribosomal RNA, 462 nt
Filed under: uncultured bacterium
Lineage: Bacteria
Description: SSU rRNA
Rfam family: Bacterial small subunit ribosomal RNA
Source: RNAcentral
AGGAUUAACGCUGGCGGCGUGCCUGACACAUGCAAGUCGAACGAGGCCGCAAGGCCGAGUGGCGGACGGGUGAGUAACACGUGACCAACCAACCUCGAAGUUGGGAAUAGCUCUGCGAAAGUAGGGGUAAUACCGAAUGUGGCCCAGGGCGGGCAUCCGCCUUGGUCUAAAGAUUCAUCGCUUCGAGACGGGGUCGCGGCCUAUUAGCUUGUUGGUGAGGUAACGGCUCACCAAGGCGAUGAUGGGUAGCUGGUCUGAGAGGACGACCAGCCACACUGGGACUGAGACACGGCCCAGACUCCUACGGGAGGCAGCAGUGAGGAAUCUUCCGCAAUGGGCGAAAGCCUGACGGAGCAACGCCGCGUGUGGGAUGAAGACUCUAGGGUUGUAAACCACUGUCGGAGGGGACGAUCGUGACGGUACCCUCAAGAAAGCCCCGGCUAACUACGCGCCAGCAGCCGC